GAUGAACGCUGACAGAAUGCUUAACACAUGCAAGUCAACUUGAAUUUGGGUUUUUAACUUAGGUUUGGGUGGCGGACGGGUGAGUAACGCGUAAAGAACUUGCCUCACAGCUAGGGACAACAUUUGGAAACGAAUGCUAAUACCUAAUAUUAUGAUAAUAGGGCAUCCUAUAAUUAUGAAAGCUAUAAGCGCUGUGAGAGAGCUUUGCGUCCCAUUAGCUAGUUGGAGAGGUAACUGCUCACCAAGGCGAUGAUGGGUAGCCGGCCUGAGAGGGUGAUCGGCCACAAGGGGACUGAGACACGGCCCUUACUCCUACGGGAGGCAGCAGUGGGGAAUAUUGGACAAUGGACCAAGAGUCUGAUCCAGCAAUUCUGUGUGCACGAUGAAGUUUUUCGGAAUGUAAAGUGCUUUCAGUUGGGAAGAAAGAAAUGACGGUACCAACAGAAGAAGUGACGGCUAAAUACGUGCCAGCAGCCGCGGUAAUACGUAUGUCACGAGCGUUAUCCGGAUUUAUUGGGCGUAAAGCGCGUCUAGGUGGUUAUAUAAGUCUGAUGUGAAAAUGCAUGGGCUCAACUCUGUAUUGCGUUGGAAACUGUAUAACUAGAGUACUGGAGAGGGUAAGCGGAACUACAAGUGUAGAGGGUGAAAUUCGUAUAUAUUUGUAGGAAUGCCGAUGGGGAAUGCCAGCUUACUUGGACAGAUACUGACGCUGAAGCGCGAUAGCGUGUGGUAGCAAACAGGAUUAUAUACCCUGGUAGUCCGAGGGCGAAUUCCACAGCGGGAUAUUAUUGCUUAUCGAUUCCUGCUGACCUCUAGGGGGGGGCCCGGUACCAAAAAUAAAAAUCCCUUUAAUGAGGAGUUAAUUAUCUGUGCCUGCUUAUAUGCAAAAUACCUUGUGUUAUUACUUGUGAUAGUGUGUUUCCUUCUUGUGUUGCUGUUCCCUCCCCUGACUGAUUGUUUCUACUUCUAAUUUACUAGUGCCUGUCUCUUAGUGUGUGUGCUUCCUGUGUUGUGUUAUCUGUUAUCUGCUUCUGUUGUGUUGGUGUGAUGACUGUGCUGUGCUGCUGCUACCCCCUAUCUCUGUCGUGCUUGUGAUUGCUAUGCUAGCUGUUUGUUCUUUGUGCUGAUAGGGUGGCGCCUAUGCCUGCCUUACUGUUCUGCGAGUGUUACUGCUGCCCCCCCUAGCAUGCUAGCCUAUAGUUAACUUUC
RNAcentral lists this ribosomal RNA (1209 nucleotides) under uncultured Streptococcus sp. RNAcentral's name for it is "partial 16S ribosomal RNA". The stretch from base 1 to 850 matches the Rfam family "Bacterial small subunit ribosomal RNA". Lineage: Bacteria; Bacillati; Bacillota; Bacilli; Lactobacillales; Streptococcaceae. The record is from RNAcentral.